This 503-nucleotide ribosomal RNA is filed under the name uncultured bacterium. Its description in RNAcentral is "partial 16S ribosomal RNA". It matches the Rfam family "Bacterial small subunit ribosomal RNA", at positions 30 to 523 of the family's 1533-position model. The record is from RNAcentral.
AUUGAACGCUGGCGGCAGGCUUAACACAUGCAAGUCGAGCGGGGUGAUGGUGCUUGCACUAUCACUUAGCGGCGGACGGGUGAGUAAUGCUUAGGAAUCUGCCUAUUAGUGGGGGACAACAUCUCGAAAGGGAUGCUAAUACCGCAUACGUCCUACGGGAGAAAGCAGGGGAUCACUUGUGACCUUGCGCUAAUAGAUGAGCCUAAGUCGGAUUAGCUAGUUGGUGGGGUAAAGGCCUACCAAGGCGACGAUCUGUAGCGGGUCUGAGAGGAGGAUCCGCCACACUGGGACUGAGACACGGCCCAGACUCCUACGGGAGGCAGCAGUGGGGAAUAUUGGACAAUGGGGGGAACCCUGAUCCAGCCAUGCCGCGUGUGUGAAGAAGGCCUUAUGGUUGUAAAGCACUUUAAGCGAGGAGGAGGCUCUUUUGGUUAAUACCCAAGAUGAGUGGACGUUACUCGCAGAAUAAGCACCGGCUAACUCUGUGCCAGCAGCCGCCGCCG